Pezoporus occidentalis (night parrot) is the source of this 567-nucleotide long non-coding RNA. RefSeq lists it as uncharacterized. NCBI's taxonomy places the organism in Eukaryota, Metazoa, Chordata, Aves, Psittaciformes, Psittacidae. The transcript is spliced from 2 exons. The record is from RefSeq and is a predicted model, not a curated record.
CCCGAAUUCCUUUUGUCGAGUCGGUUAUGUGAGGAGUGGGCGCUCGAGUUUGUGAGCAGGAGAUAAUUCUGACUCGGUAUGAAAUGCUGUAAUUAUGGAGCUACAUGUGGAGAAUAAUGGGAAAUUAUUUCAUGAUGAAAGACUGGACAAAUAGCUGGUAUCUGCGUUUUGUGAAUGUGGAUCAUGCUGGCUCAUACCGACUCGGGUGUGAGAUUCUUCUAAUUCAGUAUGUUGUCUCUGCCAACAGCCAACAUGAAAUACUGUGGAUGAAAGUAUAAAGAUCAUAAAGGAAGCAGUUGUAAAAUAAUUCACUCUUCACACUAGGUCUCAGCCUUCCUUUGCUUUGUAAAGUUUUGCUAUCCAAAUUUUAUAGGAGGGAAUGAUUACAGCAAGUAAAUCUCAGCCUUCUGGUGUGACAUGGUGUUAACAAGAGACUCUUUCAACUCUUGUGAUGGUACAAAAAAGUCUGUCAUAAGCUGCCACAUAAACUGCCUUGUCAACAACCAGGCUGGCAUUUGCCUGUAGAGGCGUUCAAACAAAUCUGAAGUAAAACAUUUACAACUAUCA